This 253-nucleotide ribosomal RNA is filed under the name uncultured bacterium. RNAcentral describes it as "partial 16S ribosomal RNA". It matches the Rfam family "Bacterial small subunit ribosomal RNA", at positions 524 to 776 of the family's 1533-position model. The record is from RNAcentral.
UACGUAGGGUGCGAGCGUUGUCCGGAAUUAUUGGGCGUAAAGCGUGCGCAGGCGGCACCGCAAGUCGAGUGUGAAAGCCCCGGGCUUAACUUGGGAAUUGCGCUCGAAACUAUGGUGCUGGAGUGUGGCAGAGGAAGGUGGAAUUCCAGGUGUAGCGGUGAAAUGCGUAGAGAUCUGGAGGAACACCGAUGGCGAAGGCAGCCUUCUGGGCCAACACUGACGCUCAUGCACGAAAGCGUGGGGAGCAAACAGG